Molecule: RNA transcript, 15094 nt
Organism: Colossoma macropomum (tambaqui)
Lineage: Eukaryota; Metazoa; Chordata; Actinopteri; Characiformes; Serrasalmidae
Exons: 2
Source: RefSeq, a predicted model, not a curated record
GGUGGUCAUAAUUUUAUGCCUGAUCGGUGUAAACUGUAAUAAAUAAAUAAAUAAUAAAAUAAUGAAAUACGAAAAAAAUAUGAUAUGACAAUAAGAAAAUUAUUUCAGCAUGAAACAUCGGCAGCUGUUUUUUUUUUGUAGUUAUUAUAUAUCUCAUUUAAUUUGUAGAUGUGUUAAACUAUUUAACAUCAUGAUCACUUACAAAUCAGGCAAAUAAUGUAUCUUGUAACGAUGGUGCUUGUCAAUGUCUGGUAUGUAUUAGUUGGUAAUCGAACAGUCGGUACUCGUAAUCAUGAUGUUGGAUGUGUGAGAAAUGGGCAGGCGGCAGAACUGAGUGAUUUUGACAAGGGCCAAAUUAAUAUGGCCAAAUGGCUGGGCUGGAGCAUCUCCGAAAUGGCAAAGCUUGUGUGUUGCUAUCGACAGUGGCCCUAGGAGGGACAAACCACGAACUGGUGGGGUGUUGGGGGCCCAAGGCUCAUUGAUACCCAAGGGCAACAAAGUCGAUCCCAUUUGGUCUGAACUAACAGAAGGGCACAAGUCACAGAUUUUUUAAUGAUGGUUACUCAAGGAAUGUGUCACAACACACGACACAUGCAUCUCACCCUGCUGACCCCCUGUCCACCGUCAAAAGCUCCUACAAUGGACACGCGAGCAUCAGAACUGGACCUUGGAAUAAUGAUAAAGGUCACCCUCUCUGAUGAGUCUCGUUUUCUUUUACUUCACGUGGACAGCCUGGUAGGCGUGUGUAGCCCAUGUGGGGAGAUGAUGGCACUGGGAUGCACUGUGUAGAGAAGACAAGCUGGUGCAGGAAGUGUGAUGCUCUGGGCAUUGUUCUGCUGGGAAGUAUUGUCAGAUGCUACAUAUCUAAAGAUUGUUGUGAACCAGGUUAACCCCUAAUGGUGAUGUUAUUCCCUGAUGGUAGUGGUCUCUUUCAGCAGAAUAAUGCACUCUGCCACACCUUACACAUUGCUCUGGAACAGUUUGAGGAGCAUUAAGAAGACUUCAGGGUGUUUCCCAGAUGUCAAUCAAUGUAUAGCAAUGUCAGAGAUACAGCACAGACCUUUGCUAAGUGUGGGUCUCCUAGACAGAUGCUGUUUUUGUUGGGUGAUUUUAAUAAAUGCAAUGUCAUGACAGAAACUAAUUACUGCAUCCAUUUACUAAUUACUUUUAUGUAGGCUCCAUAAUACCAGUAAAAACAACAGAAUAUUUUCUGAAUAAUAAACAAUAGAUUAUUAAUAUGACAGAAAAUCAGGAGGACAUAUAACAAUAUUAUUAUGAUUAUGAUUGAUUAUGAUUAUUAUUAUUAAGCAUAAGAAUAAGGUGGAGAAUAAGUUCCUUUCUGGAUAUAUCAGGGUGGCUUGAGGGGGUUUCAGCAUUAUGAUGGGUAAAAUCAGCUUUUAUUUCAGUUUUCAAUAAACUGAGUGGAUCUUCUGUCUGCAUCAAAUAAUUAGUAACAAGCCAAGGAAUAUAAAUGCACAUUAUGAUCAUUCACAAAUCAAAAGAAAAGGGGAUUAGACACAGUUGGGAACACUGAUUACAGGGCACUGUUGUUAACAAAACAUAGAUGAACAUGAUACCAAGGGGAUUGGGGCUAGAGAGAAACAAAGGGGAUGAGAAGGGCAGACAAACAAAAUGGCAAAUCGUGACAAGGGAUGUUGUAAUAUUGAGGUACACUGAGAGACCAGUUCAUUAUGAAUACCUCCCCUACGUGGUUAAAAGUAUGUGGAUACCCAAACAUCACAUCCUUAAGCACUUGUUGAAUGUUUUAUUUCAAAACCAAGUGUACUUAUACUUGUACACUUUGCACUUCUAGUUGACUGGGGCGGCUCUAGCAAGGCAGAAAUUACUUAGCCCUAUGACUUAUUAUACCGCUAGUAUUUGUCUAGGCAAAUAUAUUUGCCCUCUGUUAGCAAUGGGUGUGGCUUAAAUAGCCAAAGCCAAAAAUUAGAAGAGAUGGCCACAUAGUUUUGACCAUAUAGUAUAACUUUUAUCAGGCACUACUACCAAACUGUCCACUGCAAUGAAUCAUAGACCCACAACUGACCAGAUAUAAUUUUGGUGGUGGACUAUUCUCAGCCCUGCUGUGACACUGCAUGCUAAUGGCACAAAAAUAUGCAUUACAGAUUUCAUAUAGAAUUUAAGAAUUAAUGUUUAAGAAUAGAGAAUAGAAUUUAUUUUAAGUCAGUUUCUGCCUAUGGAAAACAAAUGUUUUAUGGCCUGAAUUUAAAAAAUGGUCAAAGAUAUUGGUGUCGUCUUUGCGCAGACACUUUGAAAUUGGCCACAUUCUGAUUUCUACUCUCUGAAAUAUAAGAGGCAAUACAGACACUCUUCUUUAAGCUUCUUUAAGUAAUAUCAACUUUUAGGGGCCUUUGUUCCUCUACAAAUGAGAACGUGGGGAGAAUUCCUAGUGGACCGGUUACUGUGAGCUAAUGAAUAAACUCACACAUAUAAGCACAAGAAUGUUAAGACAUACUACAAAAGCUACAUCCCAGUGUUCAUACAUAGUAAUUUAGGAGCUAAAAUAGUGACCCCCCCCCCUCCUGCCUCAGGAGUUUCUGUUCGAGAGCUACAUAAAUCCACUUUUCUGCAGCUGUUAUUAUUUAAUGUACCGCUAUCAGGUUAACAGGAAAGAAUAAAAGCUCUGGGUCAGCACAACUAUAUGAUGUCCCCAGGUCAAGACUGGAUGAUGUUCCUCAAGUGGAAUAGUCACGAUUUGCUGAUUGUAACAGUCUUGUACAGUAGAUAGAGAUUAGAUGAAGCAGAAGUCUGGCUCUUAUUCUCACUUCCCAUUCCACCUUAAAUGAUGUAUGAUUUACACCUUCAGAUACCUAGUAUGUAACUGCUAUACUAUUAAGGUGGAACAGAAAUUCAAUUAAGAAAUUAACCAAUGUAGCAGUUUUCAAAUGUGAAUCAUGGGCAACAGAGGCAAGAACGGCAAAAAACCAAGAUGCCUUGUGACUGUCACAAUUAUGUCACAUUUAAGAUUUCGCCAGUUUUCAUUCUAUCACUUGCUACUGCUGUUAUCUCAGUGUGGCAUAUAAAUAAUAAAAAAGAGAAAGAAAUUAACAACACAGAAAUGCACAGAUUUUAGAAAAAACUAACUAACUUUACUGCUACGAUUAAAAGACCUCCAUUUAUCCUACUGAAUAGUGAGAUUCAUUGUUCAUUAAUUUAUUCAUGUAUCUAUAUCCAUAUAUCAAGGGGCAUGGGAGGUCUCAAGAUGAUGUUCUUAGAAUAACAAAGUCUGUUAAUACCAACAAAAUACCAAAUGCAAAAUACCAAAAAACUUCAGAGAAUGAAACAUGAUAGGAAGCACCGUAAAUAAAACAGAACAAAAAGUAGGAGAAAAAAAAACGUACAACCUACAUCCACAGGAUUCAAAAACAGACACUUUAUACAAAAUAUCUAAAGAUUUACAUGUUUUCAGUUGUUACGUCCAUAGGACGUAUGUUUUGUUUUGCUUGCUUCCCUUUCGUUCUUUCUCUCUCGCUCUCUUUCUCUCUCUCUCUCUCUCUCUUAUUCUCUCGCUUAUUAGGAACCCGCCCACUUGUGCGUGUGAUUGGCUGGAGUCCCGUAACGAAAUUUAAUCUGAUUGGCUGGCUGAAAUUGCAUGGCGUAUAUCUUCGACGGCUGCGCCCGGAUGUCAUCGAGGCUUUCCUCCAUGGCGGCUUGGGGCGAUUGUUUUUAGAUCCGAACCGCAGCGCAGCUUGUUUGUUUUAUUGCUAGCGAUUGUCUACUCUCCUCUCAAAUGAAAUAGCUUAGCUUUACCUCUUGUUCUAUACCCAGUUAUCUCUGCAGUUAAACUGUAAGCUCAUGAUCUGUCUCUGUAAAUGUUCACUCUUAUGCCGACCAGGUUGUAGGAGUGGGUGCCAUUUCUUUUGAUCUUGUUUUCUCCUGUUUUUGGUAUAGUUAGGGAGUCAGGAAAGACUGACUGUACUUUUGUUUCUUUGUUUGCAUAGGUAAGUUAGUUCUCUAGCAUCUCUAGCUAGGCUGGUUAUGUUUAUUGUUUUGGCGCAUGCCCACUCUGACGUUCUCCUGUGUCGUAUGUACAAAAGAGCAGCAUAAAGAGAAUAACACGAUUUGACCUGUUUAAACGUCAACUGGCUCUCUUUUGUCUUUUUUUUAAUGUUAUGAUCAUCUCAAACCCCUAGACAGGUCGUAACAUAAAUUUGGGGCUCGGCCUUUUUUUUUUGGUUAUGUGCUGGGUACUCGUUUGCUUGGCUGUUUUCUUGUGUGUGUGGGGGGGAUGUGUCUUGGGCUGUGAUGUUUUCAUUAAGUGCAUUUAUUAGCGGUAGGCACCGACCCAGCUUUGAUCCUUCGUUUGAAGGAGCUGGAGCUUCAGCGGCAGUUAAAUCGUGCCUUGGAGAUCGAGGCUGAGAGGGCUGUGAAGCUGCGACAGCUGGAGUUGGAGGCAGGAAACGCCGGACAGCCUGUUCCGGCGCCACGCAACUCUGCUCCGCCGUUAUUUGCUGCUACGCCAGCUGUGGAGCGUCCGGUACCGUCACCACGCCGCUCUGUGUCAUUUCGACCUUAUGCUGAUGAGGUUGCUGCUUUUGACGUGAGUAAACAUAUUAAGUUGGUCCCAAAGUUCCGUGAAUCUGAAGUUGAUUCAUAUUUUGUUGCUUUUGAGCGAGUUGCUACAACACUGCGUUGGCCGCAAGGAGUUUGGCCAAUUCUGCUACAAUGUACAUUAGUGGGAAAAGCUCAGGAAGUGUAUUCUGCUCUGCCGAUUGAAGAGAGUUUAGAUUAUGAAGUAGUGAAAUCUGCUGUGCUACGUGCGUAUGAACUUGUUCCUGAAGCAUACAGACAAAACUACAGAGCCCACUCGAAAACAGCCAACCAGACUUAUGUAGAAUUCGCUAGAGAGAAGAGACAUCUGUUUAAUAAGUGGUGUAACGCUAGUCAAGUAUUUACGUUUGAUCAGUUGCAGGAAUUAAUGCUUUUAGAAGAUUUUAAGAGUUGUUUGCCUGAGAAUCUGGUUGUAUACUUGAAUGAGCAGAAAUUUUCUAGUCUUGCUGAUGCUGCUGUUGCUGCUGAUGAGUUUGCUUUGACACAUAAAAGCACUUUCCCUGUACUGGCUCGCAAUGAGACGACCAAGUCCAGAACCUUUCGUUCAAGUCUGAUCUGGCCGUGGAUAAUCAAGACACUCGUCAAGGUACACCUCCGCGUUCUAGGGAAACGCGUGAGUGUUUUUAUUGUCAUAAACCUGGCCAUCUCAUUGCUGACUGCCGUGUGCUUCAGAAAAAACAGACUUCGCCUUCUCGAAAAAGUGUAGCAUUAAUACAGUCUGCUGCGUUUGCCAACCGCCCCACUGUUUUAAAUGAUGAAUGUCGCCAUGUAGGUUUUGAACCGUUUAUUCUGCAGGGGUACGUUUCCGUUUCUAAAGCUUCUGAUGAUAAACAGCCUGUUACCAUCCUUAGAGAUACAGGAGCAGCUCAGUCUUUUAUCUUGGAUAACGUUCUUAGUUUGUCAGACGACACAUACUGCGGUUAUGAUGUCCUAGUUCAGGGAAUCGGCGGUGACACGUGCUCAGGCGCGCAAAGGUGAUGAGUUGGAUUUGGGUGACACGUUUAUGGCUGCUGAAACUUGGCCCUCCUGUGAAUCCAAAUCAGAGCUUGUAUGUUUCGAUGUCCCUGAAGCUGAAUCUACUCCCAAGUUGAGUGCUCAUGCUUUGGAUGUAGAUGUAGACUGUGUAGCUUCUCGUAAUUUUCUUAUUGAGGCCCAACAAGCAGAUCCUUCUUUGGAUAAAUGUAGGCAGCUGGGUUUAGAAACGUCGUCUACUAGUGAUAAGCAUGUGGCUUAUUUUUUUGAUAAAGGUUUGCUGCUGCGUAAAUGGACUCCUUCUCCUCCUGCUGAUCUAGAGUGCAAUGCCGUAUGUCAGAUUGUUAUCCCCAAAGUGUGCCGACAGCAAGUUUUAAGUUUAGCACAUGAUCAUUGUCUAGCUGGACAUCUUGGUGUCACGAAAACCUAUAAGCGUAUAUGACAACAUUUCUUUUGGCCUGGGUUGAAAGCAGAUGUAGUAAAGUACUGUAAAUCUUGUCAUACGUGCCAAGUAGUGGGGAAGCCCAACCAAGCCAUCCCUCCUGCGCCUUUGCACCCAAUUCCAGUGAUGGAAGAGCCUUUUGAGAGAAUUAUUUUAGAUUGUGUUGGUCCUUUACCGCGAACCAAGUCAGGAAACCGAUUUUUAUUAACAAUCAUGUGUGCUGCUACUCGCUUUCCAGAAGCCAUUCCUAUUCGCACGUUGCGGGCCAAAGCCAUUAUUAAAGCUUUGAUUAAAUUUUGCUCUACUUUCGGGCUUCCAAAAUGUAUCCAAACAGACCAGGGGUCAAAUUGUAUGUCCAAGAUAUUUGCACAGGUUUUACAACAGCUUUCGGUCAAACAUAAAGUUUCCAGUGCUUAUCAUCCCGAGAGUCAAGGAGCUUUAGAGCGCUUCCAUCAGACUUUUAAGUCCAUGCUGCGUAAAUAUUGCGCUGAGUCAGGGAAUGAGUGGGAUGAAGGUGUGCCUUUAGUCCUCUUUGCUAUUCGUGAAACUGUUCAGGAGUCGACUUUGUUUAGCCCAGCCCAGCUUGUUUUUGGUCAUUCUGUUCGAGGUCCGCUGAAGAUUUUGAAAGAGAAAUGGAUGUCAGAGUCGGAGCCGAAUCAAAAUGUUCUUGAUUAUGUCAGUCAGUUCAGGGAGCGUCUGCAUGCAGCUUGUACAGCGGCUAAAUCAACGCUAACUACUUCUCAAAGCACUAUGAAGCGGCGCUUCGAUAAGAGAACAGUUCUUAGAUCUUUUCAGCCUGGAGAUGAUGUUCUGGUUCUAUUACCACUUGUAGGUUCCUCUUUACAAGCUAGGUUUUCUGGUCCUUAUCGGAUCGAGUCCAAGCUUAGUGAUACAGACUACGUCAUUCGUACUCCUGACCGUAGCCGAAAAACGCGAGUUUGUCAUAUUAAUAUGCUUAAGACUUAUGUCUCUCGAGAAGAAAGUACCUCAGAUGAUUUGAAGCAAGUCUCCUCUGAUAACUCUGGUUUUAGCCUUCCUGUUGCAUCCGUUUCUGUGUUUUCGAGCUCUGGUGUUGAUGAUGAUGAUGAUGAUGAUGAUGAUGAUGAUGAUGAUAAUGGUUUAGAUGCGUGUUUGGCUCCUGCACUUUGUGCACGUUUGUCAAAUUCUAGUAUUUUAAGUGACUUGUCCUCAUUUUUAUCUGAUCUCGCUGUCAGUGAGCAACAGGAGAUGGUAAAUUUGAUUGCAGAGUUUCCAAACCUUUUUUCAGAUGUUCCUAGACGUACUCAUGUCAUCGAACAUGACAUCGAUGUUGAUGGUCACGCUCCAAUUAAACAGAAUUCAUAUCGAAUAAAUCCAACAAAACGUGCUAUUAUGAAGUCAGAAGUACAAUAUCUCCUUGAUAAUGGUUUGGCAAUCCCUAGUUUUAGUCCCUGGAGCUCACCCUGUCUUUUAGUUCCUAAGCCUGAUGGUACCUCACGUUUCUGUACUGAUUACCGUAAAGUAAACGCAGUGACUCGUUCAGAUUCUUUUCCUCUCCCUCGUAUUGACGACUGUGUAGAUAGAGUUGGAUCAGCUAAAUAUGUCAGUAAGCUGGAUCUACUUAAGGGUUAUUGGCAGGUGCCUUUGACAGCUCGAGCUUCUGAUAUUUCUGCCUUCGUUACUCCUGAUAGCUUUCUACAAUACACAGUGAUGGCUUUUGGGAUGAAAAAUGCACCUGCAACAUUCCAAAGACUGAUGAAUCAGGUUUUGUUUGAUGUAUCCCAUUGUGAAGCUUACCUCGAUGAUGUUAUCAUUUAUACAGAAACGUGGGAUGAGCACCUAUCUGUUCUUCGAACGAUUUUUCAGCGCUUAGACGCAGCUUCAUUAACUUUGAAUUUAGCCAAAUGUGAGUUCGGAAAAGCCACCGUAGUUUACUUGGGGAAGGAAGUUGGACAGGGUAAAGUUCGCCCAGUAAAUGCCAAGGUUGCGACUAUUCAAGAAUUCCCUGUUCCUUCUACAAAACGUGAACUGCGCCGCUUCCUAGGAAUGGCUGGAUAUUACAGGAGUUUUUGUCGAAAUUGUGCUUGUAUUGCCUCUCCUUUAACAGACAUUUGAGUUCUGCGUGUUCUUUUAUUUGGACAGCUGACUGUCAGAGUGCUUUUGACUCUAUUAAGGCCCUGUUGUGCAGCUCCCCUGUUCUGUCUGCACCUAACUUUGCACUGCCAUUUAAGCUGGAGGUAGAUGCCAGUGCUACUGGUGCUGGUGCUGUACUUCUACAGGAAAAUAAUUCGGGAAUCGAUCACCCCGUGUGUUAUUUUUCAAAAAAAAAUUCAAUCAGCAUCAACUUAAGUAUUCGACUAUCGAAAAAGAAACUUUGGCUUUGUUACUUGCUUUACAGCAUUUUGAAGUCUAUGUAGGCUCUAGCUCACAGCCUGUUCAGGUAUUCACAGAUCACAAUCCACUCUCUCGCAUGUAUAACAGUAAUCAAAGGCUGAUGCGGUGGGCUUUGCUAGCUCAAGGGUACUCACUGGAGAUUCGGCACAAGAAGGGCACAGAUAAUGUAAUGGCUGAUGCCUUUUCUCGUGUGUGAAACUUUUAUGGGGGGGGGGAGUGUUACGUCCAUAGGACGUAUGUUUUGUUUUGCUUGCUUCCCUUUCGUUCUUUCUCUCUCGCUCUCUUUCUCUCUCUCUUAUUCUCUCGCUUAUUAGGAACCCGCCCACUUGUGCGUGUGAUUGGCUGGAGUCCCGUAACGAAAUUUAAUCUGAUUGGCUGGCUGAAAUUGCAUGGCGUAUAUCUUCGACGGCUGCGCCCGGAUGUCAUCGAGGCUUUCCUCCAUGGCGGCUUGGGGCGAUUGUUUUUAGAUCCGAACCGCAGCGCAGCUUGUUUGUUUGUUUGUGUGUUUGUUUGUUUUAUUGCUAGCGAUUGUCUACUCUCCUCUCAAAUGAAAUAGCUUAGCUUUACCUCUUGUUCUAUACCCAGUUAUCUCUGCAGUUAAACUGUAAGCUCAUGAUGGGUCUCUGUAAAUGUUCACUCUUAUGCCGACCAGGUUGUAGGAGUGGGUGCCAUUUCUUUUGAUCUUGUUUUCUCCUGUUUUUGGUAUAGUUAGGGAGUUAGGAAAGACUGACUGUACUUUUGUUUCUUUAUGUUUGCAUAGGUAAGUUAGUUCUCUAGCAUCUCUAGCUAGGCUGGUUAUGUUUAUUGUUUUGGCGCAUGCCCACUCUGACGUUCUCCUGUGUCGUAUGUACAAAAGAGCAGCAUAAAGAGAAUAACACGAUUUGACCUGUUUAAACGUCAACUGGCUCUCUUUUGUCUUUUUUUUAUGUUAUGAUCAUCUCAAACCCCUAGACAGGUCGUAACAUAAACUGGGGGCUCGUCCUCUUUUUGGUUAUGUGCUGGGUACUCGUUUGCUUGGCUGUUUUCUUGUGUGUGUGGGGGGAUGUGUCUUGGGCUGUGAUGUUUUCAUUAAGUGCAUUUAUUAGUGCGCCGUCCGUAGAGCAGUUUGAGCAGUGUCGUAAGGCUGAUUUACUACAACUCGCAGAGCAUUAUGAUAUUGGGGUGGACCGUAACGUUAGAAAAGCAGAGCUUAAAUCUUCUAUCUUUGGCGUGUUGGUGGCGAGGGGCAUACUUUUUGAGGGGCCUUGUCCUGUGUCAGAAGGUGCGGGUGCUGUGGAGGAGGUCAGUUUAGCGGCCAGGGCGGAGGCCGGGGUCGGGGCUGUACCUCCGCGCAUAGAUCCCGUACGCCUGCCAGCGGUAGGCACCGACCCAGCUUUGAUCCUUCGUUUGAAGGAGCUGGAGCUUCAGCGACAGUUAAAUCGUGCCUUGGAGAUCGAGGCUGAGAGGGCUGUGAAGCUGCGACAGCUGGAGUUGGAGGCAGGAAACGCCGGACAGCCUGUUCCGGCGCCACGCAACUCUGCUCCGCCGUUAUUUGCUGCUACGCCAGCUGUGGAGCGUCCGGUACCGUCACCACGCCGCUCUGUGUCAUUUCGACCUUAUGCUGAUGAGGUUGCUGCUUUUGACGUGAGUAAACAUAUUAAGUUGGUCCCAAAGUUCCGUGAAUCUGAAGUUGAUUCAUAUUUUGUUGCUUUUGAGCGAGUUGCUACAACACUGCGUUGGCCGCAAGGAGUUUGGCCAAUUCUGCUACAAUGUACAUUAGUGGGAAAAGCUCAGGAAGUGUAUUCUGCUCUGCCGAUUGAAGAGAGUUUAGAUUAUGAAGUAGUGAAAUCUGCUGUGCUACGUGCGUAUGAACUUGUUCCUGAAGCAUACAGACAAAACUACAGAGCCCACUCGAAAACAGCCAACCAGACUUAUGUAGAAUUCGCUAGAGAGAAGAGACAUCUGUUUAAUAAGUGGUGUAACGCUAGUCAAGUAUUUACGUUUGAUCAGUUGCAGGAAUUAAUGCUUUUAGAAGAUUUUAAGAGUUGUUUGCCUGAGAAUCUGGUUGUAUACUUGAAUGAGCAGAAAUUUUCUAGUCUUGCUGAUGCUGCUGUUGCUGCUGAUGAGUUUGCUUUGACACAUAAAAGCACUUUCCCUGUACUGGCUCGCAAUGAGACGACCAAGUCCAGAACCUUUCGUUCAAGUCUGAUCUGGCCGUGGAUAAUCAAGACACUCGUCAAGGUACACCUCCGCGUUCUAGGGAAACGCGUGAGUGUUUUUAUUGUCAUAAACCUGGCCAUCUCAUUGCUGACUGCCGUGUGCUUCAGAAAAAACAGACUUCGCCUUCUCGAAAAAGUGUAGCAUUAAUACAGUCUGCUGCGUUUGCCAACCGCCCCACUGUUUUAAAUGAUGAAUGUCGCCAUGUAGGUUUUGAACCGUUUAUUCUGCAGGGGUACGUUUCCGUUUCUAAAGCUUCUGAUGAUAAACAGCCUGUUACCAUCCUUAGAGAUACAGGAGCAGCUCAGUCUUUUAUCUUGGAUAACGUUCUUAGUUUGUCAGACGACACAUACUGCGGUUAUGAUGUCCUAGUUCAGGGAAUCGAACUUAGUCCUGUCUCUGUUCCACUGCACUCCAUACUUUUAGAGUCUGACUUGGUUUCUGGUGAAGUUAAGGUUGGAGUUCGGUCUCAUCUGCCUGUUGCUGGUACCACAUUUAUAUUGGGUAAUGACUUAGCUGGUGGAAAGGUAACUCCUGUUCCUGAAGUCAUUAGCGAGCCUAGAAUAACUGCUGGAGAGGACGCUUUGCUUCAGAAAUUUCCCUCUGUUUUUCCUGCAUGUGCGGUGACACGUGCUCAGGCGCGCAAAGGUAAUGAGUUGGAUUUGGGUGACACGUUUAUGGCUGCUGAAACUUGGCCCUCCUGUGAAUCCAAAUCAGAGCUUGUAUGUUUCGAUGUCCCUGAAGCUGAAUCUACUCCCAAGUUGAGUGCUCAUGCUUUGGAUGUAGAUGUAGACUGUGUAGCUUCUCGUAAUUUUCUUAUUGAGGCCCAACAAGCAGAUCCUUCUUUGGAUAAAUGUAGGCAGCUGGGUUUAGAAACGUCGUCUACUAGUGAUAAGCAUGUGGCUUAUUUUUUUGAUAAAGGUUUGCUGCUGCGUAAAUGGACUCCUUCUCCUCCUGCUGAUCUAGAGUGCAAUGCCGUGUGUGGUUGGUAUAGUGUAGUGGGUAACAUCUCUGCCUUCCACGCUGUAGGCUGGGGUUCAAUCCCCACCUGGGCAAACACCCUACGCUUUAUCAAUAAGAGUCCUUGGGCAAGACUCCUAACACUACCUUCGCCUACCUGUGUAAAAAUGAUGAAAUUGUAAGUUGCUCUGGAUAAGAGCGUCUGCCAAAUGCUGUAAAUGUCAGAUUGUUAUCCCCAAAGUGUGCCGACAGCAAGUUUUAAGUUUAGCACAUGAUCAUUGUCUAGCUGGACAUCUUGGUGUCACGAAAACCUAUAAGCGUAUAUGACAACAUUUCUUUUGGCCUGGGUUGAAAGCAGAUGUAGUAAAGUACUGUAAAUCUUGUCAUACGUGCCAAGUAGUGGGGAAGCCCAACCAAGCCAUCCCUCCUGCGCCUUUGCACCCAAUUCCAGUGAUGGAAGAGCCUUUUGAGAGAAUUAUUUUAGAUUGUGUUGGUCCUUUACCGCGAACCAAGUCAGGAAACCGAUUUUUAUUAACAAUCAUGUGUGCUGCUACUCGCUUUCCAGAAGCCAUUCCUAUUCGCACGUUGCGGGCCAAAGCCAUUAUUAAAGCUUUGAUUAAAUUUUGCUCUACUUUCGGGCUUCCAAAAUGUAUCCAAACAGACCAGGGGUCAAAUUGUAUGUCCAAGAUAUUUGCACAGGUUUUACAACAGCUUUCGGUCAAACAUAAAGUUUCCAGUGCUUAUCAUCCCGAGAGUCAAGGAGCUUUAGAGCGCUUCCAUCAGACUUUUAAGUCCAUGCUGCGUAAAUAUUGCGCUGAGUCAGGGAAUGAGUGGGAUGAAGGUGUGCCUUUAGUCCUCUUUGCUAUUCGUGAAACUGUUCAGGAGUCGACUUUGUUUAGCCCAGCCCAGCUUGUUUUUGGUCAUUCUGUUCGAGGUCCGCUGAAGAUUUUGAAAGAGAAAUGGAUGUCAGAGUCGGAGCCGAAUCAAAAUGUUCUUGAUUAUGUCAGUCAGUUCAGGGAGCGUCUGCAUGCAGCUUGUACAGCGGCUAAAUCAACGCUAACUACUUCUCAAAGCACUAUGAAGCGGCGCUUCGAUAAGAGAACAGUUCUUAGAUCUUUUCAGCCUGGAGAUGAUGUUCUGGUUCUAUUACCACUUGUAGGUUCCUCUUUACAAGCUAGGUUUUCUGGUCCUUAUCGGAUCGAGUCCAAGCUUAGUGAUACAGACUACGUCAUUCGUACUCCUGACCGUAGCCGAAAAACGCGAGUUUGUCAUAUUAAUAUGCUUAAGACUUAUGUCUCUCGAGAAGAAAGUACCUCAGAUGAUUUGAAGCAAGUCUCCUCUGAUAACUCUGGUUUUAGCCUUCCUGUUGCAUCCGUUUCUGUGUUUUCGAGCUCUGGUGUUGAUGAUGAUGAUGAUGAUGAUGAUGAUGAUGAUAAUGGUUUAGAUGCGUGUUUGGCUCCUGCACUUUGUGCACGUUUGUCAAAUUCUAGUAUUUUAAGUGACUUGUCCUCAUUUUUAUCUGAUCUCGCUGUCAGUGAUCAACAGGAGAUGGUAAAUUUGAUUGCAGAGUUUCCAAACCUUUUUUCAGAUGUUCCUAGACGUACUCAUGUCAUCGAACAUGACAUCGAUGUUGAUGGUCACGCUCCAAUUAAACAGAAUUCAUAUCGAAUAAAUCCAACAAAACGUGCUAUUAUGAAGUCAGAAGUACAAUAUCUCCUUGAUAAUGGUUUGGCAAUCCCUAGUUUUAGUCCCUGGAGCUCACCCUGUCUUUUAGUUCCUAAGCCUGAUGGUACCUCACGUUUCUGUACUGAUUACCGUAAAGUAAACGCAGUGACUCGUUCAGAUUCUUUUCCUCUCCCUCGUAUUGACGACUGUGUAGAUAGAGUUGGAUCAGCUAAAUAUGUCAGUAAGCUGGAUCUACUUAAGGGCUAUUGGCAGGUGCCUUUGACAGCUCGAGCUUCUGAUAUUUCUGCCUUCGUUACUCCUGAUAGCUUUCUACAAUACACAGUGAUGGCUUUUGGGAUGAAAAAUGCACCUGCAACAUUCCAAAGACUGAUGAAUCAGGUUUUGUUUGAUGUAUCCCAUUGUGAAGCUUACCUCGAUGAUGUUAUCAUUUAUACAGAAACGUGGGAUGAGCACCUAUCUGUUCUUCGAACGAUUUUUCAGCGCUUAGACGCAGCUUCAUUAACUUUGAAUUUAGCCAAAUGUGAGUUCGGAAAAGCCACCGUAGUUUACUUGGGGAAGGAAGUUGGACAGGGUAAAGUUCGCCCAGUAAAUGCCAAGGUUGCGACUAUUCAAGAAUUCCCUGUUCCUUCUACAAAACGUGAACUGCGCCGCUUCCUAGGAAUGGCUGGAUAUUACAGGAGUUUUUGUCGAAAUUGUGCUUGUAUUGCCUCUCCUUUAACAGACAUUUGAGUUCUGCGUGUUCUUUUAUUUGGACAGCUGACUGUCAGAGUGCUUUUGACUCUAUUAAGGCCCUGUUGUGCAGCUCCCCUGUUCUGUCUGCACCUAACUUUGCACUGCCAUUUAAGCUGGAGGUAGAUGCCAGUGCUACUGGUGCUGGUGCUGUACUUCUACAGGAAAAUAAUUCGGGAAUCGAUCACCCCGUGUGUUAUUUUUCAAAAAAAAAUUCAAUCAGCAUCAACUUAAGUAUUCGACUAUCGAAAAAGAAACUUUGGCUUUGUUACUUGCUUUACAGCAUUUUGAAGUCUAUGUAGGCUCUAGCUCACAGCCUGUUCAGGUAUUCACAGAUCACAAUCCACUCUCUCGCAUGUAUAACAGUAAUCAAAGGCUGAUGCGGUGGGCUUUGCUAGCUCAAGGGUACUCACUGGAGAUUCGGCACAAGAAGGGCACAGAUAAUGUAAUGGCUGAUGCUUUUUCUCGUGUGUGAAACUUUUAUGGGGGGGUGGGAGUGUUACGUCCAUAGGACGUAUGUUUUGUUUUGCUUGCUUCCCUUUCGUUCUUUCUCUCUCUUUCUCUCUCUCUCUCUCUCUUAUUCUCUCGCUUAUUAGGAACCCGCCCACUUGUGCGUGUGAUUGGCUGGAGUCCCGUAACGAAAUUUAAUCUGAUUGGCUGGCUGAAAUUGCAUGGCGUAUAUCUUCGACGGCUGCGCCCGGAUGUCAUCGAGGCUUUCCUCCAUGGCGGCUUGGGGCGAUUGUUUUUAGAUCCGAACCGCAGCGCAGCUUGUUUGUUUGUUUUAUUGCUAGCGAUUGUCUACUCUCCUCUCAAAUGAAAUAGCUUAGCUUUACCUCUUGUUCUAUACCCAGUUAUCUCUGCAGUUAAACUGUAAGCUCAUGAUCUGUCUCUGUAAAUGUUCACUCUUAUGCCGACCAGGUUGUAGGAGUGGGUGCCAUUUCUUUUGAUCUUGUUUUCUCCUGUUUUUGGUAUAGUUAGGGAGUUAGGAAAGACUGACUGUACUUUUGUUUCUUUAUGUUUGCAUAGGUAAGUUAGUUCUCUAGCAUCUCUAGCUAGGCUGGUUAUGUUUAUUGUUUUGGCGCAUGCCCACUCUGACGUUCUCCUGUGUCGUAUGUACAAAAGAGCAGCAUAAAGAGAAUAACACGAUUUGACCUGUUUAAACGUCAA